Molecule: non-coding RNA, 363 nt
Organism: Hemiscyllium ocellatum (epaulette shark)
Lineage: Eukaryota; Metazoa; Chordata; Chondrichthyes; Orectolobiformes; Hemiscylliidae
Source: the annotation of a RefSeq genome assembly
AUGUUGCUACUCGGUAUCUGUGUAUUGUGGGGACCCAUCCUAACAGAUCUGAGUCAUGCAGAUUCUGUCACUCAGUCAAUUACCUCAGAACUUCGGACAGAAGGAGAAGCGGUGAACAUUACCUGUACCUAUGACACUACAUUGAGUAGCUAUGUGCUAUUCUGGUAUCGACAGCAUCCAGGCACACAGCCCGAAUAUGUACUGCGCAAAGAUACUAGUGGUAGCAUGUACAAAGCGGAAUUUGCUGCAGAUCGCUUUUCUGUAGAUCUUCAGACCUCGAAGAAAUUCACCAGUUUGAAAAUAGCCAGACUGGACGUGACUGACACUGCCGUGUAUUACUGUGCUUUCUGGAACUCACAGUGA